AAAUUCGAGUCUAUAAGGAAAGA
RNAcentral lists this microRNA (23 nucleotides) under Schistosoma japonicum. RNAcentral describes it as "sja-miR-10-3p". Its record names the gene sja-miR-10-3p. The record is from miRBase by way of RNAcentral. Lineage: Eukaryota; Metazoa; Platyhelminthes; Trematoda; Strigeidida; Schistosomatidae.